Molecule: transfer RNA, 75 nt
Filed under: bacterium
Lineage: Bacteria
Also listed under: 1 other name
Description: tRNA-Gln
Rfam family: tRNA
About the family: Transfer RNA (tRNA) molecules are approximately 80 nucleotides in length. Their secondary structure includes four short double-helical elements and three loops (D, anti-codon, and T loops).
Source: RNAcentral
UCCGGGAUCGUCUAGCUGGCAGGACACUGGCCUCUGAACCCAGAAAGACAGGUUCGAAUCCUGUGCCCGGAACUA